UUGUCUCAAAGAUUAAGCCAUGCAUGUCUCAGUACAAACCAAAAUAAGGUGAAACCGCGAAAGGCUCAUUAUAUCAGUUAUGGUUCAUUAGAUCGUACCAACAUUUACUUGGAUAACUGUGGUAAUUCUAGAGCUAAUACAUGCAUACAGAACUCCGACCGGAGACGGAAGGAGCGCUUUUAUUAGAUCAAAACCAACACGGGCGGCGGGGGCCGGCGGCGCCUCGCGCGUCGUCGCGUUCGCGCCGUCUAAACAUAGCUCGCACGACGAAUCUGAAUAACUUUAUGCCGAUCGCACGGUCACGCACCGGCGACGCAUCUUUCAAAUGUCUGCCUUAUCAACUUUCGAUGGUAGGUUAUGCGCCUACCAUGGUUGUAACGGGUAACGGGGAAUCAGGGUUCGAUUCCGGAGAGGGAGCCUGAGAAACGGCUACCACAUCCAAGGAAGGCAGCAGGCGCGCAAAUUACCCACUCCCGGCACGGGGAGGUAGUGACGAAAAAUAACGAUACGGGACUCAUCCGAGGCCCCGUGAUCGGAAUGAGCACACUUUAAAACCUUUAACGAGGAUCAAUUGGAGGGCAAGUCUGGUGCCAGCAGCCGCGGUAAUUCCAGCUCCAAUAGCGUAUAUUAAAGUUGCUGCGGUUAAAAAGCUCGUAGUCGAAAUUGUGUCCUCGGCCGCCGGUUCGUCGCUCGCGACGCCAACUGGCGCGCACGCUGGACGUCCAGCCGGUACAACGAACUCGCCUACGGGGUGCUCUUAACCGAGUGUCCAGGCGGGGGCCGGCAACGUUACUUUGAACAAAUUAAAGUGCUUAAAGCAGGCUAAAUUGCGCUCGCAUACACGCGCAUGGAAUAAUCGAAUAGGACCUCCGUUCUAUUUUGUUGGGAUUUUGUGGAACGACAGACGGAGGUAAUGAUCAAUGGGUGCGGAUGGGGGCAUUCGUAUUGCGACGUUAGAGGUGAAAUUCUUGGAUCGUCGCAAGACGGACUUAAGCGAAAGCAUUUGCCAAAAACGCUUUCAUCGAUCAAGAACGAAAGUUAGAGGUUCGAAGGCGAUCAGAUACCGCCCUAGUUCUAACCAUAAACUAUGCCAGCUAGCGAUCCGCCGAAGUUACUUCUAUGACUCGGCGGGCAGCUUCCGGGAAACCAAAGCUUUCGGGUUCCGGGGGAAGUAUGGUUGCAAAGCUGAAACUUAAAGGAAUUGACGGAAGGGCACCACCAGGAGUGGAGCCUGCGGCUUAAUUUGACUCAACACGGGAAACCUCACCAGGCCCGGACACCGGAAGGAUUGACAGAUUGAGAGCUCUUUCUUGAUUCGGUGGGUGGUGGUGCAUGGCCGUUCUUAGUUGGUGGAGCGAUUUGUCUGGUUAAUUCCGAUAACGAACGAGACUCUGUCCUGCUUAAUAGCCGAAAGAAGGCCGCGUCGGAGCGACGGGGGGCGCGCGCGUGUGACUGUUGCACGAGCGCACGGUUCUUACACUGUCUGCGGACAAACAUAUCUUCUUAGAGGGACAAGCGGCUCGAAGCCGCGCUAUAGAGAGCAAUAACAGGUCUGUGAUGCCCUUAGAUGUCCUGGGCCGCACGCGCGCUACACUGAAGGAAUCAGCGUGUGCGCAGAUAGCCCUCGGCCGAGAGGCCCGGGUAAUCCGCUGAAACUCCUUCGUGCUAGGGAUUGGGGCUUGAAAUUCUUCCCCAUGAACGAGGAAUUCCCAGUAAGCGCGAGUCAUAAGCUCGCGUUGAUUACGUCCCUGCCCUUUGUACACACCGCCCGUCGCUACUACCGAUCGAGCGAUUUAGCGAGGUCUUCGGACCGACGCCCGUCGGCAUACCGUCGACGGACGCGCCGGAAAGUCGACCGAACUUGAUCGUUU
RNAcentral lists this ribosomal RNA (1871 nucleotides) under Lampyridae sp. UPOL RK0376. RNAcentral's name for it is "SSU rRNA". It matches the Rfam family "Eukaryotic small subunit ribosomal RNA". Lineage: Eukaryota; Metazoa; Arthropoda; Insecta; Coleoptera; Lampyridae. The record is from RNAcentral.